GACGAACGCUGGCGGCGUGCUUAACACAUGCAAGUCGAACGGAAAGGCCCUGCUUUUGUGGGGUGCUCGAGUGGCGAACGGGUGAGUAACACGUGAGUAACCUGCCCUUGACUUUGGGAUAACUUCAGGAAACUGGGGCUAAUACCGGAUAGGAGCUCCUGCUGCAUGGUGGGGGUUGGAAAGUUUCGGCGGUUGGGGAUGGACUCGCGGCUUAUCAGCUUGUUGGUGGGGUAGUGGCUUACCAAGGCUUUGACGGGUAGCCGGCCUGAGAGGGUGACCGGCCACAUUGGAACUGGGAUACGGCCCGGACUCCUACGGGAGGCAGCGGUGGGGAAUAUUGCACAAUGGGCGGAGGCCUGAUGCAGCAACGCCGCGUGCGGGAUGACGGCCUUCGGGUUGUAAACCGCUUUCGCUGUGACGAAGCGUGAGUGACGGUAAUGGGUAAAGAAGCACCGGCUAACUACGUG
Molecule: ribosomal RNA, 467 nt
Filed under: uncultured bacterium
Lineage: Bacteria
Description: partial 16S ribosomal RNA
Rfam family: Bacterial small subunit ribosomal RNA
Source: RNAcentral